CCUACGGGAGGCAGCAGUGGGGAAUUUUGCGCAAUGGGGGAAACCCUGACGCAGCAACGCCGCGUGCGGGAUGACGGCCUUCGGGUUGUAAACCGCUUUCAGUAGGGACGAACUUUGACGGUACCUACAGAUGAAGCCCCGGCUAACUACGUGCCAGCAGCCGCGGUAAUACGUAUGGGGCAAGCGUUAUCCGGAUUUACUGGGUGUAAAGGGAGCGUAGGCGGCCUGGCAAGCCUGAUGUGAAAUACCGGGGCCCAACCCCGGGGCUGCAUUGGGAACUGCCAGGCUGGAGUGCCGGAGAGGCA
RNAcentral lists this ribosomal RNA (305 nucleotides) under uncultured bacterium. RNAcentral's name for it is "bacterial SSU rRNA". It matches the Rfam family "Bacterial small subunit ribosomal RNA", at positions 338 to 659 of the family's 1533-position model. The record is from RNAcentral.